UCAGCUCGUGUCGUGAGAUGUUGGGUUAAGUCCCGCAACGAGCGCAACCCUCGACCUUAGUUGCCAGCAUUCAGUUGGGCACUCUAAGGUGACUGCCGGCUAAAAGUCGGAGGAAGGUGGGGAUGACGUCAAAUCAUCAUGCCCCUUAUGACCUGGGCUACACACGUGCUACAAUGGGCGGUACAAAGGGUCGCGAACCCGCGAGGGGGAGCCAAUCCCAAAAAGCCGCUCUCAGUUCGGAUUGCAGGCUGCAACUCGCCUGCAUGAAGCCGGAAUCGCUAGUAAUCGCGGAUCAGCAUGCCGCGGUGAAUACGUUCCCGGGCCUU
This 326-nucleotide ribosomal RNA is filed under the name uncultured Anoxybacillus sp. RNAcentral describes it as "bacterial SSU rRNA". It matches the Rfam family "Bacterial small subunit ribosomal RNA", at positions 1055 to 1382 of the family's 1533-position model. The record is from RNAcentral. Lineage: Bacteria; Bacillati; Bacillota; Bacilli; Caryophanales; Anoxybacillaceae.